Molecule: small nuclear RNA, 234 nt
Filed under: Helianthus annuus (common sunflower)
Lineage: Eukaryota; Viridiplantae; Streptophyta; Magnoliopsida; Asterales; Asteraceae
Description: U2 spliceosomal RNA
Rfam family: U2 spliceosomal RNA
About the family: U2 is a small nuclear RNA (snRNA) component of the spliceosome (involved in pre-mRNA splicing). Complementary binding between U2 snRNA (in an area lying towards the 5' end but 3' to hairpin I) and the branchpoint sequence (BPS) of the intron results the bulging out of an unpaired adenosine, on the BPS, which initiates a nucleophilic attack at the intronic 5' splice site, thus starting the first of two transesterification reactions that mediate splicing.
Source: RNAcentral
AUACCUUUCUCGGCCUUUUGGCUAAGAUCAAGUGUAGUAUCUGUUCUUAUCAGUUUAAUAUCUGAUAUGUAGGGUUGUGCAACGGUUCAGAACCGGACCGAACCAAAUCAAAACUGAACCGGAACCGUUAAUUGUUAAAUUUAAGAACCGGAACCGAACUGUAUUAUAACGGUUCCGGUUCGGUUCCGAACCGGUUAAAUGGUUCUCGUGUAAACGGUUCUCACGGGAACCAGU